Molecule: transfer RNA, 76 nt
Filed under: Nitrospirae bacterium RBG_16_64_22
Lineage: Bacteria; Pseudomonadati; Nitrospirota
Also listed under: 1 other name
Description: tRNA-Lys
Rfam family: tRNA
About the family: Transfer RNA (tRNA) molecules are approximately 80 nucleotides in length. Their secondary structure includes four short double-helical elements and three loops (D, anti-codon, and T loops). Further hydrogen bonds mediate the characteristic L-shaped molecular structure. tRNAs have two regions of fundamental functional importance: the anti-codon, which is responsible for specific mRNA codon recognition, and the 3' end, to which the tRNAs corresponding amino acid is attached (by aminoacyl-tRNA synthetases). tRNAs cope with the degeneracy of the genetic code in two manners: having more than one tRNA (with a specific anti-codon) for a particular amino acid; and 'wobble' base-pairing, i.e. permitting non-standard base-pairing at the 3rd anti-codon position.
Source: RNAcentral
GGGCCGCUAGCUCAAUUGGUAGAGCACCGGCCUUUUAAGCCGGGUGUCUUGGGUUCGAUUCCCAAGCGGCCCACCA